CGUCAUUUUCCUUUCCUUUCUUCUUCUGUAAUAACAGGUCCCUUCUUCCACCACUUCACUGCCUCCAUCUCCACCAAACCCACCAGAAUUUCUUCAAUAAAAAAAAAAUUACGCUCCAUAUAUUCAUCCAUUAAAUGGACAAGAGGGGUUGCUCUGAUGGUAAGCAACCUCCACUUCCAACCAAGAGGUUGUAAGUUCGAGUCACCCCAAGAGCAAGGUGGGGAGUUCUAGGAGGGAAGAUGACGAUGGUCUAUUGGAAACAGCCUCUCUAUUUCAUGGUAGAGGUAAGGUUGCGUACACACUACCCUUCCCACACCCCACUAGUAAAAUUAUAUUGGAUUAUUGUUGUUGUAUAUUCAUCCGUUAAAUCACACCCACCACCACUUUGAUUGCCACAUCGAUAUUUUUUUUUAAAAAAAGCUUAGAAAACUUCAACAAAAAAAACAGCAUAAUAGAAAUCAUCUCCGGUACAUUUUUCUCCUUCAAAACUCUUUCGUUUCUUCCUAAGAGUCAUCUCCAGUACAUUUUUCUCUUAUUUUCUUUUUCUUUUUCUUCUUCUUAUUUUUCGCCGGAAACAAUGGUGAUUCCGGUGACACUUUAAACAAUGGAGAUAUUUAAUAUAAAAAAGAAGAUGAAGAAAUAGGUGGGGAGAUUGGAUGUAACGAGAAAAAGAAGAAGCCAUAAAUAAAAAAAUUUGAAAUUAAAAAACCAAAUACAAGAACUAAUCAGCUGGGGGAAGAGAUAGCUAGGGAGUGCGGGGAUGAUGAAGGAGGCUUGGUGGCGUGGGGUGGGGGUUGGGGAUAAAGAAAAGGAAAAAAUAAUGGAGAGAAAAACUAAAUAAUAAAUGAAAAAGAUAUUAUGCGGUUUAUAAAACACAUGUCAAAAUAUGAUUGGUUCGUGUGGUAUUUAUUAUAUUUCAAAUAAAGACAUAGGACCUACAAAGUAUGAGGGUGUUAGAUGCGGAUUCAAAAUUUAAAUUUUAUGAGUUCAAUAUUUAAAGUUCUUAGUAUUGAACCCAUUAAAUUUUUUAAACUAUAGGUUCAAUCUACUAUUUAUUGUAAUUUUAGUGAAUUUUUACACAUUAAUUUAUAUUACGCGUCAAAAGAUAUGGAUUCAAUUGGACCCGUCACUAAAGUGCUACAUCCGUCCCUGGAGGGUGUAACUGGUAAAUUGGAACAACCCUAACGGGUAACUAUGUAUUAUCCUAUUACAAAUCAAACAAAACAACUUGGGAAACACAUUUAUUAGUUGAAACACAUAUAUUUUCUCUCACUAUAAUGGCAUCUUUGUAUCUCCUCAAUAUCUCCUCAAGUAAUUGUCUUCUCUCUCUAUGUUUGUGUUUCUAGCUAAGAAGAGAGAGAAAAAAGUUGAGAAUAAUAGUAAGUACUAACUGAUGUGAGGCGGAUUUUCUCAGAGAUAGGCUGUGUAGCCAUUUACCCUCGACUGCUGAAGGAAAUUUCAUUGAAGCCAGUAGAAAGAAUACAGCCAUACAGAACUUUUACGUAUAUAGAACUUUUAUGUUUUUUUAGUGUAAUUUAACUUUUAUAGAGGUUAUUUCCUUUGCUUUUUGGAUUAUCAGAUCAUAUUAGUUACAAAUAAUUAUCUAUUAUUGUGAGUAAUUUAACUUAAUGGUGUAAAACUAUUAACAUAAUUAUCAGUGUACGACAAUUAAACUUUUCUAUUUACAAGUUUCACCAAAGUUAUCUAUUCUAACCCAUGUAAUUAAGAAUAUAGUACAAUUGGAUGGUAAAAGUCACAUUUCUCCGCUCUUAAUUAACGGUCUUCAUUUCAAGUUUUAAAAUUGAAGUCUUUUAUGGGAGGAUGCUUUACAACCUGUAAUAGGCCUUCUCCGCAUGAGUCCAAAUUAGUCGAGCUAUGUAUUUUAGAUACAUGUUUGGAGCAAAAAAUAAAGUGAAGCUCUAACAGUAAUUUGUUAAAGAUGAAAAGGAGAACUCUUCUCUGUUAUUUUAGUUUAAAAUUACAUAAAGAUCUAUAUAUUUUUCGUACAAAUCUAUGGUCCAUAUUAUAUUCAGGGACGGAGCUAGAGCUUCGAUAAAGGUUUCGGUCGAACCCAGUAACUUUAGUUCAAAUCAUAUAUUUGUCUUAAGAAAUUCAUUGAAUAAGUACAAAUUCUUACUUUAGAACUCAGUGACAUAAAAACGUUAGAAUCUUGAACCCAAUAACUUACUCCGCCUCUGAUUAUAUUAUUAUUUACUAAGAACGCAUGACAGUUGCAUGCAUAUACUAUUAUUUCAAGAAAUCUUCAAUGUACGUAGUUGUACAAAUGACAGGGACUAAUAAGGGGCGGAAGCAGAAUGUGGGAUGCGAUUUCGGCCGAACCCAGUAAUUUUUAUUCAAAUCAUGUAUUUAUUUUGAGAAAUUCAUUAAAUAUGUUCAACUUAUUAAUCUAGAACCCAGUAACUUAAAAGUAUUACAAUUCCGAACCCAUAAGGUUCAAAUCUUGAUUACGACUAUGGAACUAAUUCUGUCC
This 2491-nucleotide long non-coding RNA is filed under the name Nicotiana tabacum (common tobacco). Its description in RNAcentral is "long non-coding RNA (NTAB_LNC004830)". The record is from RNAcentral. Lineage: Eukaryota; Viridiplantae; Streptophyta; Magnoliopsida; Solanales; Solanaceae.